RNAcentral lists this long non-coding RNA (1051 nucleotides) under Cicer arietinum (chickpea). RNAcentral describes it as "long non-coding RNA (CARI_LNC000963)". Lineage: Eukaryota; Viridiplantae; Streptophyta; Magnoliopsida; Fabales; Fabaceae. The record is from RNAcentral.
UUGCCUGAUUUUAUGGCUUAUCCAACUGUAUUCAUAUGUUCUUUCUUGGGUUUCUCUGUUUGAAUUAUAAUUUUGAGCUUAUGAUUUCUAUGGUCGAUGUAAUCAAAGUAAACUUUUCAUGUUUGUGUUAUUUUAAUUAGUUGUCAAUUUCAUUAAAAAGUUCUUUACAAAAUCUAGUUAGCUUACUCAAUCAACAUUAUUGGAUUAUAUGAUUAUAAGAGGGAUUACUGGCUUACUGCUUCUGAUAAUUUGGUAUGUGCCUUAAUUGGUUAGAUAGGGAAGAUGAUAUGGUGUUUAUCAAGCAAUUGUUUCAUAUUUAUUUUAAAAUUUAAUUUAUAUUCUAUGAUAAAACUUGACAUUUUGAUCUGUUGUUGUGUUUAGACUGACCAAAUCGGACUUCCGUGAGCCGGUAAAUAUUGGAAGUGAUGAAAUGGUCAGCAUGAAUGAGAUGGCUGAGAUUGUCCUUAGUUUUGAUAACAAGAACACUCCUAUACAUCACAUUCCAGGCCCAGAGGGUGUUCGUGGUCGUAACUCUGACAACACACUAAUCAAAGAGAAACUUGGCUGGGCUCCAACAAUGAAGUUGAAGGUACUAAUAAUUUAGUUUGGUGAAAAUCACCUUCCUAUUCCUACUUUAUGUACUAUAAUCAAAGUUCAGAUUAAUGUCUGAUGAACAGUCAUCUCAUACGCCAAUUAUACCUAGUUCAGUUUGUUUUUCUUCAAAAUGACACCUUCCUACUUUCUUGUGUCUAAACAACUUUUUAUCCGAUUUGGCUCCUUCGUCUUCUUCAAGAGAGAAUAAUGGAAUGUUUAUGUUUUAUACUCAUCAAUAAAAUUCCUAGUUGACCUUGUUCCCUCCAACAUUUUUUUAUCUUAAUAAACAUCCACAUGAUUAUGUGUAUACUUACAGCAGUAUCUAAAAUUUGAUAUUGUAGGAUGGGCUGAGGAUUACAUACUUCUGGAUUAAGGAACAGCUUGAGAAGGAGAAGGCUCAAGGUAUUGAUACAUCGGUAUAUGGAUCAUCAAAAGUGGUGCAAACCCAAGCUCCAGU